GAUGAACGCUGGCGGCGUGCCUAAUACAUGCAAGUCGAGCGAACAGACGAGGAGCUUGCUCCUCUGACGUUAGCGGCGGACGGGUGAGUAACACGUGGAUAACCUACCUAUAAGACUGGGAUAAGUUCGGGAAACCGGAGCUAAUACCGGAUAAUAUAUUGAACCGCAUGGUUCAAUAGUGAAAGACGGUUUUGCUGUCACUUAUAGAUGGAUCCGCGCCGCAUUAGCUAGUUGGUAAGGUAACGGCUUACCAAGGCAACGAUGCGUAGCCGACCUGAGAGGGUGAUCGGCCACACUGGAACUGAGACACGGUCCAGACUCCUACGGGAGGCAGCAGUAGGGAAUCUUCCGCAAUGGGCGAAAGCCUGACGGAGCAACGCCGCGUGAGUGAUGAAGGUCUUCGGAUCGUAAAACUCUGUUAUUAGGGAAGAGCAAAUGUGUAAGUAACUAUGCACGUCUUGACGGUACCUAAUCAGAAAGCCACGGCUAACUACGUG
This 497-nucleotide ribosomal RNA is filed under the name uncultured bacterium. RNAcentral's name for it is "partial 16S ribosomal RNA". It matches the Rfam family "Bacterial small subunit ribosomal RNA", at positions 28 to 507 of the family's 1533-position model. The record is from RNAcentral.